RNA transcript from Papaver somniferum (opium poppy), 3042 nucleotides. It is a transcript of the gene named peptidyl-prolyl cis-trans isomerase PASTICCINO1-like, with no coding region annotated. NCBI's taxonomy places the organism in Eukaryota, Viridiplantae, Streptophyta, Magnoliopsida, Ranunculales, Papaveraceae. The transcript has 12 exons. The record is from RefSeq and is a predicted model, not a curated record.
AUCACUCCUCUCUUUGUCUUCUCCGUCUUUAUGUUCUUCUUGGUUCAUAUAUUCUGAUUGUUUUUUUUUUCUAAUCGAUCAUGUGUUGAUUGCUCAACAUAAAUUUUGUUCCAAUUAUUGUUUGUUUUGUUUUAUUUUGUAGGAGUGGUUUUUGAAGAAGAGAUGAACAGCCAAAUCCAAUUAUGUAUUGUUGCAGGGGUUAUGUUGAUUCAUAAGCAGCUUCUGGGAGAGAGAGGAAUUGUAUUUGAUUCACGAACAGGAUUGAUGAGCAAAAUAAGAUAGAAAGCUGCAUUUGCCAGUUGUGGAUUUCAAAAAAGUACCUGAACAUUUAAAUUCAGAGCCUAAUGUGUUUAUGGAAAUGUCUAGGAGAAACUCAGAUUAAAACAGAAACUCAAACUGCACCAGACUAAAAGACAUGCCAAUUAGGUAUUUUAAUAAGGGUAUGGUUGAAACUACAGAACUGGGUAUGUUGCUGAGACACUAUCUUGGAGAAAAAUAUGAUGAGAAACUAUAGUUUCUAAAAGGAAACAUUCUCGAAGAGCAGUAGCGAGACUUUCGAGCAGCUCCAGCAGAGAAUUCCUGAAAGAAUAGUUGAGCAUGUUGUUCACUGAAUGCUUUCAAAAGGUUUUAGAGGCAAGUCCUGGACAUGUGAAGGCUCUAUAUCGUCGUGGCAUGACACACAUGUCAGCUGGAUAUUUUGAGGAAGCAAGGAGUGAUUUUAAGAAGAUGAUAACCAUUGACAAGUCCUCGGAACCUGAGGCAACAUCAGCUCUUAAAAAUCUCAACCAAAAGGGACAGGAAGUUGAGAUGGACUGUCUGACAAGAAGCAUGGGGUAAUUGCUGAUGCUGGAGCUGAUUUAGGCAAAGAUGAGAAAGAUGAAAAUGAUGAAAACCUUGAACGUGGAAACAAUGCUGCACAAGAUUAAGAAAAGGAAGUCAAAGAAGAGGAAGAAGAAGCUCCACCCUCGAAAGGGUUUAUUUAACAGGAUUUGGCCCAUUGUACCUUCGCUUCACCUAUGUCAUUUACCAAUAUCAGCAGUAGGGGACGGGGAGAGACGAGGUUGGAAGCUGAGCCACACCAAAUCAAAAAUUCUAAGCGACGGGACGAGGCGAAGCCGAGCCACAUCAAUUAAAAAAUGCAUCGAGCCACCCAAAAUCAAAAAUUCAUGGGAAAGCCACACCAAAUCAAAAAUCCAAAAGUGACGGGGCUUCGCCAAAAAUCCAAAAGUGACGGGGCGAGGCGAAGCCGAGCCACAAAUGUUUAACAGGGCGAGGAAAAAAAUGAUGGUGGAUAGAUUUCGGGUCCGCCCGGUGUGUAGCACGGGCACAAAAUCAAACAAGAUGAUAAGUGAAACUCAAAUCUUGAUUCUCAUUCAUUCUGACCCUACCAUCUAAACUGAUCUCCAUUCUCACAACCCUACUCAUCUAAACUGAUCUCCAUUCUCACAACCCUGCUCAUCUAAUUUGGUUUCUAUUAUUGUUCUGCUUCAAGAAUCAUCGAUAACCGGAAACAGGUCCGGUGGAACAACCUGAGUAAUUUGGUUUCUAUUAUUCUGAGACUUCAACAAUCAGCAAUCACCAGAAACAGGGGUAUCAACAAAGAGAUACUCUUUGUUAGCUAUCGAAUGAAUUUUUAAUUUGAGGAACCAGAUGACUCUAGAAACUACAUUCAGGUUAGAAAAGGCAAGGAAGGCAAGAGAAUUUACUCUCCGAGACUGUUGAUAGAAAUACCACUAAUGCAUCAAAACCUUCUCGCAAAAGAGCAAUCAAUGAUCUGGAACCACCACAUUCUAUCAACAAUGAUAAGUUACAGCUACAACGCCGUGCUCGAUAACGGGGAAGAAUGAAAAUUGAUCACAUGAGGCAGAGAAAGAUUCAACUUGAUCGCUUACGCCAAACACAAACUCAAAGUGUCUGCGAUUCAGGUGUUGGUCCCGCAGCACGGGAAUGAGUGUCGAAUACAUGUUCAAGUACAUCUGCAAAGGGGAUGAUCGUGUUACUGCUGUUCUGGAAAAAACUAAUCCCCAGAAUAAUAAGGAAACUACAACCAAAAAGAAGAGAAGCAACAAAGGGCACGAAGAACUUACUGGAACUUACUGCUGUCGUUGAACAAACUCAGUCACCAAAUCAGCAUGUUGGUCAGAAUGGAAACAACGGACAGGAUUCUCAAAAGGGUAAGAAAAAGGUCAAGCCUAAAUUUGAUGAAGUGAACAACUAUUUGGAUUGUCGAUACAUAUCAGCUCCGGAGGGGAUAUGGAGAACGUUGGGUUAUGAAAUUCAAUAUCGCAAGCCAAGUGUGGAGAGACUUCCGUUUCAUCUCGAAGGUGAGCAAAACAUCUACUUCAAUGACAAAGAAAAUCUGGAAAAUGUCAUAGACAGAACGAAUUACCUACAAAAUUCCUUUGGUACAAUAAAAUAAAAAUGUGGAGGAAAAGGAACCAGUGGGUACAAAAUCGGGAGACUAUACUAUGCACAUCCAACUUCACAAGAGAGAUACUAUCUACGAAUGUUGUUGUACAUCGGCAAAGGAGCACAGACUUAUGAUGAAAUAAAAACUGUUAAGGGAAAGAUAUAUCCUACUUUCAAAGCGGCGUGUCUUGCACAUGGUCUGUUAGAAGAUGACAAAGAAUGGCAUCAUGGUCUAAGAGAAACGACAACAUUCACAUCAGGUAACCAAGUACGUGAAUUAUUAUCGGGAGUUGGGAGUAGAAUUAAACUACUUCGAAAUUUGGAUCCGCAAAUUGGCCUUUGCAAGGGAACACGGCUAAAUUUAACUCAUCUAGGCCAAACACUUAUUGAAGCAGAGAUCAUGGAAGGAGACUUCGGAGGAAGCCGCGUAUUACCGAGGAAAACAAUGACUCCAAAAAACUGCCAAUUUCUUUUUGAGAGAAAUCAGUUCCCAGUUAAAGAGUUCCCUUAAUGGUGUUAACAAAUUUAUACAAUCAUUAUCAUCAAAUUCACUUUUCUUUAAUCAGGAAAUAAAUGUAGUUAAUCAUAAUUUGCAGAAAAUAAAGACACAUCCUUAUGAUUUAUUUCUUUUAA